Molecule: non-coding RNA, 474 nt
Organism: Cyprinodon variegatus (sheepshead minnow)
Lineage: Eukaryota; Metazoa; Chordata; Actinopteri; Cyprinodontiformes; Cyprinodontidae
Source: the annotation of a RefSeq genome assembly
CGCUCUGGGAGAGUUUAUAGUCCUGAGAGUUGAACACUGGAUGACUGACAGCUGUCCUUCAUGACAACAGAAGACACAGAAAUCCUCCUCAUCAAAAACAUGACUUUGAUCUGCGUCCUCAUCUGGACUCUCCUCUGCUGCUGCUUCACAGAGUCCAGAGGUCAGAUCACAGUGAUUCAGCCUGCAGCAGUGAGAGCUGAUCUGGGAGGAUCUGUUACCAUCAGCUGCAGGACCAGUCAGAAUGUUUACAACAACAACCAUUUAGCCUGGUACCAACAGAAAGAAGGAGAAACUCGCAAGCUGCUCUUUUACUACAUUGGCAGUCGAGUCUCAGGCACUUCAAGUCGUUUUACAAGCAGCGGAUCAAACUCUGACUUCACUCUGACCAUCAGUGGAGUUCAGGUUGAAGAUGCUGCAGUUUACUGCUGUCAGAGUGCUCAUCACAUCAACAACCAGUGGGUGUUCACACAGUGA